UCCCUGGUGGUCCAGUUGUUAAGACUCUGUGCUUCCAAUGCAGGGGCCAUGGGUUCAACCCCUGCUCGGGGAA
RNAcentral lists this transfer RNA (73 nucleotides) under Bos taurus (domestic cattle). It matches the Rfam family "tRNA". From Rfam's summary of the family: Transfer RNA (tRNA) molecules are approximately 80 nucleotides in length. Their secondary structure includes four short double-helical elements and three loops (D, anti-codon, and T loops). Further hydrogen bonds mediate the characteristic L-shaped molecular structure. tRNAs have two regions of fundamental functional importance: the anti-codon, which is responsible for specific mRNA codon recognition, and the 3' end, to which the tRNAs corresponding amino acid is attached (by aminoacyl-tRNA synthetases). tRNAs cope with the degeneracy of the genetic code in two manners: having more than one tRNA (with a specific anti-codon) for a particular amino acid; and 'wobble' base-pairing, i.e. permitting non-standard base-pairing at the 3rd anti-codon position. RNAcentral also lists the same sequence under 4 other names. Lineage: Eukaryota; Metazoa; Chordata; Mammalia; Artiodactyla; Bovidae. The record is from Rfam by way of RNAcentral.